UGAGGAAUAUGGUCAAUGGGCGAGAGCCUGAACCAGCCAAGUAGCGUGAAGGAUGACUGCCCUAUGGGUUGUAAACUUCUUUUAUAAAGGAAUAAAGUCGGGUAUGGAUACCCGUUUGCAUGUACUUUAUGAAUAAGGAUCGGCUAACUCCGUGCC
Molecule: ribosomal RNA, 156 nt
Filed under: uncultured bacterium
Lineage: Bacteria
Description: partial 16S ribosomal RNA
Rfam family: Bacterial small subunit ribosomal RNA
Source: RNAcentral